Molecule: ribosomal RNA, 301 nt
Filed under: uncultured bacterium
Lineage: Bacteria
Description: partial 16S ribosomal RNA
Rfam family: Bacterial small subunit ribosomal RNA
Source: RNAcentral
CAGUAGCCACGGUAAUACGUAGGGUGCGAGCGUUAAUCGGAAUUACUGGGCGUAAAGCGUGCGCAGGCGGUUAUAUAAGACAGAUGUGAAAUCCCCGGGCUCAACCUGGGAACUGUAUUUGAGACUGUAUGGCUAGAGUGUGUCAGAGGGGGGUAGAAUUCCGCGUGUAGCAGUGAAAUGCGUAGAUAUGCGGAGGAACACCGAUGGCAAAGGCAAUCCCCUGGACCUGUACUGACGCUCAUGCACGAGAGCGUGGGGAGCAAACAGGAUUAGAGACCCCUGUAGUCCCUGUCUCUUAUAC